This 682-nucleotide ribosomal RNA is filed under the name uncultured bacterium. RNAcentral describes it as "bacterial SSU rRNA". It matches the Rfam family "Bacterial small subunit ribosomal RNA", at positions 62 to 732 of the family's 1533-position model. The record is from RNAcentral.
UCGAACGAGAAAAUCCCUUCGGGGGUGAGUACAGUGGCGCACGGGUGAGGAACGCGUAGGUAAUCCACCCUCUGGCGGGGGACAACAUUCCGAAAGGGAUGCUAAUACCGCGUAAGACCACGCUCACUACGGUGAAAGUGGUUAAAGGUGCCUCAAAGCACCACCAGAGGACGAGCCUGCGUCCCAUCAGCUUGUUGGUAAGGUAAUGGCUUACCAAGGCUAAGACGGGUAGCUGGUCUGAGAGGAUGAUCAGCCACACUGGCACUGGAACACGGGCCAGACUCCUACGGGAGGCAGCAGUGAGGAAUAUUGGGCAAUGGGCGAAAGCCUGACCCAGCCACGCCGCGUGUGUGAUGAAGGCCUUCGGGUCGUAAAGCACUGUGGGGAGAGACGAAACAGCGCAUCAGGAAAUGGGUGCGCCUUGACGGUACCUCCUUAGCAAGCACCGGCUAACUCUGUGCCAGCAGCCGCGGUAAUACAGAGGGUGCAAACGUUGCUCGGAUUUACUGGGCGUAAAGCGCGUGUAGGCGGACUCGCAAGUCGGUUGUGAAAUCCCUGGGCUUAACCUAGGAACUGCAUCCGAAACUGCUUGUCUUGAGUAAUGGAGAGGGUGGCGGAAUUCCCGGUGUAGAGGUGAAUUCGUAGAUAUCGGGAGGACAUCAGUGGCGAAGCGGCCACCUGG